GACCGACAUCAGCGACUCGUUCUGCGAGCCGGCACCCACCGCGAGAUAGGCGUUCAUGCCCAGCUCUUUCAUCUGCUGCUCGCCGAUCACGCGCGUAGUAACGUUUUUGCUGUAGGCGUCCGCUAGCUGGCGCGCCUGUGAGGCGAGAUAGGCCGCAUUGCAGAUGUUCGGCGGCAUAUUGCCGAGAUCUUUCGC
Molecule: non-coding RNA, 195 nt
Organism: Pantoea sp.
Lineage: Bacteria; Pseudomonadati; Pseudomonadota; Gammaproteobacteria; Enterobacterales; Erwiniaceae
Source: Rfam